CGCACCUUGCGCUCCUUGGGAUUCCGAGGAGCAUGCCUGUUUGAGUGUCAUGAAACUCUCAACCCCCGCGGAUGCGGGUCGGUUGGAUUUUGGAGGUUGCCGGACCGGUUCGGCUCCUCUUGAAUGCAUAGUAAAGCUUGGACCUGACCGACCGAGUGGACGUGAUAGAAAGUCACCGUCGACUGAAGGGUCCGUCGCCGAACGGUUCAAGCUUUGUCUUCGGACGAAAGAUCUCUGAGCUCUGACCUCAAAUCAGGUAGGACUACCCGCUGAACUUAA
Molecule: unclassified non-coding RNA, 279 nt
Filed under: Laetiporus sp.
Lineage: Eukaryota; Fungi; Basidiomycota; Agaricomycetes; Polyporales; Laetiporaceae
Description: partial contains 5.8S ribosomal RNA, internal transcribed spacer 2, and large subunit ribosomal RNA
Source: RNAcentral